UCACGCCUGUAAUCCCAGCACUUUGGGAGGCCGAGGCAGGUGGAUCAUGAGGUCAGGAGACCGAGACCAUCCCGGCUAAAACGGUGAAACCCCGUCUCUACUAAAAAUACAAAAAAUUAGCCGGGCGUAGUGGCGGGCGCCUGUAGUCCCAGCUACUUGGGAGGCUGAGGCAGGAGAAUGGCGUGAACCCGGGAGGCGGAGCUUGCAGUGAGCCGAGAUCGCGCCACUGCACU
This 233-nucleotide long non-coding RNA is filed under the name Homo sapiens (human). RNAcentral's name for it is "HSALNT0355649". Lineage: Eukaryota; Metazoa; Chordata; Mammalia; Primates; Hominidae. The record is from RNAcentral.